RNAcentral lists this ribosomal RNA (363 nucleotides) under Triticum aestivum (bread wheat). Its description in RNAcentral is "partial small subunit ribosomal RNA". The record is from RNAcentral. Lineage: Eukaryota; Viridiplantae; Streptophyta; Magnoliopsida; Poales; Poaceae.
AUGAUGAUAUCAGACUGUGCUAUUCAAGUUAAUUUUAUAACAAGAGAAGCCAUCAUAGUGUGUAACUUCCUUUACUGUCAUGUUUUAAUAAUUCACACUGGUAGUUUUAGUUGUUGGCUUCUUGCUAUUUCUAUAUUAAUUGUUAGAAGAAUCCAGAAAUGGUAUCAAAUGCUAGCAUAUCUUGACAUUGUUAUUUUGAUCGAUUUGGGAUUCACAUAUUUCUAUAUAUUGUUUAAAUACAAUGCUCGAGGAUUUGCUAAGUGUAACCUUUUCAGUUCUACAAUGCUCAUAGUAGGUUUUGCCUUUAUGCAAGUUAAACUGUUCCAACUUCUUACUAGAAGUGGGCCUGUAUGUCAUCAUUGA